AGAGUUUGAUCAUGGCUCAGAACGAACGCUGGCGGCGUGGAUAAGACAUGCAAGUCGGACGAGAUUUUUCGUUGUAGCAAUACGAUGGAAAGUCUAGUGGCGAACGGGUGCUUAACACGUGGGCAACCUGCCGAGAAGUGGGGGAUAGCUCGCCGAAAGGCGAAUUAAUACCGCAUGUGAUUAGAGUGGACAUCCAUUCGAAAUUAAAGUCGGGGCAACCUGACGCUUCUUGUGGGGCCCGCGGCCUAUCAGCUAGUUGGUGAGGUAAUGGCUCACCAAGGCUUUGACGGGUAGCUGGUCUGAGAGGACGACCAGCCACACUGGGACUGAGACACGGCCCAGACACCUACGGGUGGCAGCAGUCGAGAAUUUUUCUCAAUGGGGGAAACCCUGAAGGAGCGACGCCGCGUGGAGGAUGAAGGUCUUCGGAUUGUAAACUCCUGUCAUUGGGGAACAAUGCGUGAUGGUUAACUGCCGUCGCGUUGAUAGUACCCGAAGAGGAAGAGACGGCUAACUCUGUGCCAGCAGCCGCGGUAAUACAGAGGUCUCAAGCGUUGUUCGGAUUCAUUGGGCGUAAAGGGUGCGUAGGCGGCGCGGUAAGUCGGGUGUGAAAUCUCGGAGCUUAACUCCGAAACUGCAUUCGAUACUGCCGUGCUUGAGGACUGGAGAGGAGACUGGAAUUUACGGUGUAGCGGUGAAAUGCGUAGAUAUCGUAAGGAAGACCAGUGGCGAAGGCGGGUCUCUGGACAGUUCCUGACGCUGAGGCACGAAGGUCAGGGGAGCAAACGGGAUUAGAUACCCUAGUAGUCC
Molecule: ribosomal RNA, 810 nt
Filed under: uncultured bacterium
Lineage: Bacteria
Description: bacterial SSU rRNA
Rfam family: Bacterial small subunit ribosomal RNA
Source: RNAcentral